AUAAUAAUAAAAAAUCAAUACUACGCAAAAAAUAUGGUAAAAAAGUCAGACAAAUAAAAAUUUUAGUGGCAAGGCAGAUAUAAUAAACCAUCCCUUGACCUUACUAAUAUGAAAUCAAAACCGGUUCGUAGACACCGUUGAAUCCUGAAGCACGCUCUACUGGGACUGGUGUUCAGUAUUCAUCAUCAUGAGAACGGGGAUUGCGCAUCAUGGGGUUGUGGUGUUUCAGAUUGUCGGAAUGCUGCCACUGCCAACAAGUUCCGCAAAAGUAAUUGAAGCACUCCAUGUCACGACAAAAAUACGGUCCCAUUUGUGAGGCGCACACGCUGCAUACUGAAUCCUCCAGGAAAGGGUCAAUCUGGAUCUUCUUGCUGAAUUUUUGCGUCCGAAUCUCCACAAAUGCCGCACGGAUCGCUUUAACAUAACUCUGCGCACAGUUGAACACCACGCGGCCAGAUCCGAUCGGAUACUUGUACUUAUCUAAAAAAAGUCAACGAACUGCUUAAAUAGUUUAAAACAUAUAGUAACUCGAGUUGACCAACCUAGGUAAGCAAUACCGAAGGAUCUAUAUGACAAAGUUACAGCACACUGCAUCUGUUAACAAUAACUUACACUUCCCUGCAUAUGAACUACAAGCAUACUGCAUUGCCCAAUUUCAGGGAUCCACAAGUUAGGCUUCACAAACGGAAUCCCAAAAAUUUAAUCACCUGUGCUUCUACGGUUAACGGACUAACCUGUAUCGAUAUUAGCCGUCACGACGCCACCAAACAAAUCGUUCAUAAUGCGUGCCAGCCCUUCUGCAUUCAGCAUUCCAUGCAGACUACCCACAAAAACUGUCUUGGUGCCGGAAGUCGAAAUGCAGCCCGGAUGAACGUAAGUGGAAUCGGACAACGGCCAUGGAAUGAUCUGCACAUCUUUGCGGCGCAAACGAGUGCUGCAGACCUUGUAGUAGUAAUUGCGGCCGCCUCCAGUGGGACUGGUGUCCACUGUACAGUUACUCAGCAGAGCCCGCACGGAGCGUUCGUUGUCGAAGAUAAUGUACAGAGUUUCGUCCCGGAUUUUCGUGGUAAUUAGAGGGCCAUUCCACUUUCAACGGUCCAUAUUUUCCGAAAGCCGCCGUCAGAUUAGGUUCGGAAAUAUCCCAGGGAACGCCACCCAAAAAUACCUACAAAUCGGAAGUGGAAAAUAAAAUAUGCAGAGUCAACAGGUUGGGCCAAAAACUGAUAGGCCGGUGAUGCAGGAAUAAGCAGAACCUUUAGGAAUUCGUGCCGGCAGCAUACCACUCCACACGACAGUGGGAUCAUAAAUGGAUGCCGCCAUGCGGUACGCAUGAGCCUGACGCUCGACAUUGGCAUCGCCGGCCCAGCGCUGAUCCUUCGGCAUCAUGUGCUGCUUAUGGCCGCCGCGGAAUCCCGCCACACGGGCAUACUGCUCCACCAUCAAAGGACUGCCACCCGAUGCACACCCGCAAUACCCGGAAUUUCGUCCUGAACACGCCGCAAUGUGAUCGAUCUGCUCCGGCGACUGAUGCGAAUAGUUGGCAUGCAUCAGCGCCGGGGUCACAUUCUGCAUGGGCACCGACACCGGUCGACUGAUCGGGGAUGAUACCGGCGAAUAGGAAAUCCCAUGCUGUGCCAAGUUGUAAUCGGGAACCAUGGCCGCCUUACUGCGCAGUACAGUCGGCGUCGGACUGCGUGAAGCGUUAACCGGAAGCCGACGCAGAGACUGACGUGGCAACGCUCCCUGAUUGAUGAUGGUGCGCAUGUUUCCGGAAUUGCGACGGCAGUCUAAAUUUUCCUGAAAUUCAGAAUGUUACAGCUAAAACGUAUAUAUGCUUAUUCAAUUAUUCAUAUUAUCUACCACGGCGUUUUUUGCGAUUUCGCAUUUCUUUUCUUGAAGUGGAACAAAGGAAGUAAUAAUAUUUCACACACAA
Paramacrobiotus metropolitanus is the source of this 1933-nucleotide long non-coding RNA. RefSeq lists it as uncharacterized. The record is from RefSeq and is a predicted model, not a curated record. The transcript has 3 exons. NCBI's taxonomy places the organism in Eukaryota, Metazoa, Tardigrada, Eutardigrada, Parachela, Macrobiotidae.